GACGAACGCUGGCGGCGUGCUUAACACAUGCAAGUCGAACGAUGAAGCCCUUCGGGGUGGAUUAGUGGCGAACGGGUGAGUAACACGUGGGCAAUCUGCCCUUCACUCUGGGACAAGCCCUGGAAACGGGGUCUAAUACCGGAUAACACUUCCAUUCGCAUGGGUGGAGGUUAAAAGGCUCCGGCGGUGAAGGAUGAGCCCCGCGGCCU
This 209-nucleotide ribosomal RNA is filed under the name uncultured bacterium. RNAcentral describes it as "partial 16S ribosomal RNA". It matches the Rfam family "Bacterial small subunit ribosomal RNA", at positions 28 to 239 of the family's 1533-position model. The record is from RNAcentral.